GCCCUGGUGGUACAAUGGUUAAUGGCUCAGCUGCUAACUGGGAGAUUGGUGGUUUGAACCCACCCCGUGGCU
Molecule: transfer RNA, 72 nt
Filed under: Loxodonta africana (African savanna elephant)
Lineage: Eukaryota; Metazoa; Chordata; Mammalia; Proboscidea; Elephantidae
Rfam family: tRNA
About the family: Transfer RNA (tRNA) molecules are approximately 80 nucleotides in length. Their secondary structure includes four short double-helical elements and three loops (D, anti-codon, and T loops).
Source: Rfam by way of RNAcentral